RNAcentral lists this long non-coding RNA (227 nucleotides) under Lathyrus oleraceus (garden pea). Its description in RNAcentral is "Pisum sativum (pea) long non-coding RNA (PSAT_LNC014768)". The record is from RNAcentral. Lineage: Eukaryota; Viridiplantae; Streptophyta; Magnoliopsida; Fabales; Fabaceae.
UUACAAAAGGCCUAGAAGUGUUUCCCACAGGAGGGGGUGUCCCAAUGGGCAUUUGUUGUGCCCUGAAGGACGAACUAGGCGCGUUUUGCGACAUCGAAACCGCUGGUAUCGACCCUGCUGACGAAGGUACAGCCUCUGACACAGGGACCGAUCCUAUAUUGCCUUCUGUCGAAGGGACAGGGUUAGAUACUGGGAUGGAUUCGUUAGGAUUAUUUGGCUGGUUCGCC